UACCGCGGUUAUACGAGAGACCCAAGUUGACAAGCUCCGGCGUAAAGCGUGGUUAAGGAGUAACAAACACUAAAGCCAAAUACUUGCCAAGCUGUUAUACGUUCCCGAAAGUAAGAAGCACAUUCACGAAAGUAGCUUUAUCUUGCCUGAACCCACGAAAGCCAAGGCA
Molecule: ribosomal RNA, 169 nt
Filed under: Cromileptes altivelis (humpback grouper)
Lineage: Eukaryota; Metazoa; Chordata; Actinopteri; Perciformes; Serranidae
Description: partial small subunit ribosomal RNA
Source: RNAcentral